CACCGCCCGUCACACUAUAGGAGCUGGCCAGGUUUGAAGUCAUUACCCUUAAUCGUAAGGAGGGGGAUGCCUAAGGCUAGGCUUGCGACUGGAGUGAAGUCGUAACAAGGUAGCCGUACUGGAAGGUGUGGCUG
This is a non-coding RNA of Zea mays, 134 nucleotides long. Lineage: Eukaryota; Viridiplantae; Streptophyta; Magnoliopsida; Poales; Poaceae. The record is from Rfam.